GUGGCUGUGGCUUAGUGGUAGAGCACUUGCCUAGCAAGUGUGAGGCACUGAGUUCAAUUCUCAGCACCACA
Molecule: transfer RNA, 71 nt
Filed under: Ictidomys tridecemlineatus (thirteen-lined ground squirrel)
Lineage: Eukaryota; Metazoa; Chordata; Mammalia; Rodentia; Sciuridae
Description: Spermophilus tridecemlineatus (thirteen-lined ground squirrel) tRNA
Rfam family: tRNA
About the family: Transfer RNA (tRNA) molecules are approximately 80 nucleotides in length.
Source: Rfam by way of RNAcentral